GACGAACGCUGGCGGCGUGCUUAAUACAUGCAAGUCGAACGGACAGGCCCUGCUUUUGCGGGGUGCACGAGUGGCGAACGGGUGCGUAACACGUGAGUACCCUGACCUUGCCUUUGGGAUAACUUCAGGAAACUGGGGCUAAUACUGGCUAGGACCUCAUGAUGCAUGGUAUGGGAUGGUAAGUUUCGGAGGGUGGGGAUGGAAGCGCGGCUUAGCAGCUUGUUGGUGGGGUAGUGGCUUAGCAAGGCAACGACGGGUAGCCGGCCUGAGAGGGAGACCGGCCACAGUGUGACUGAGGAACGGCCCAGACGGCUACGGGAGGCAGCAGUGGAAAAUAUUGCACAAUGGGCGGAAGCCGGAUGCAGCAACUCCGGGUGCGAGAGGACUGCCGUCAGGGUGGAAACCGCGUGCGCCUGGAACGAAGCGUGAGUGACGGUAAUUGAUAAAGAAGCAACGGCUAACUACGUG
RNAcentral lists this ribosomal RNA (468 nucleotides) under uncultured bacterium. RNAcentral's name for it is "partial 16S ribosomal RNA". It matches the Rfam family "Bacterial small subunit ribosomal RNA", at positions 28 to 507 of the family's 1533-position model. The record is from RNAcentral.